GCCCCUGUAGCAUAGCCUGGUAGUGCUAAAUGGUUAACAUCUGCAAAAGUGAGUGUUAAUGUUAGGCACUAGGUAAAUAGUGCGUCCGGUUGCGGACCGGGAGCUCGCGAGUUCAAAUCUCGUCAGGGGCG
This 131-nucleotide transfer RNA is filed under the name Candidatus Woesearchaeota archaeon. RNAcentral's name for it is "tRNA-Arg". Lineage: Archaea; Nanobdellati; Candidatus Woesearchaeota. The record is from RNAcentral.